RNAcentral lists this ribosomal RNA (342 nucleotides) under Yarrowia lipolytica. Its description in RNAcentral is "eukaryotic LSU rRNA". The stretch from base 77 to 224 matches the Rfam family "5.8S ribosomal RNA". The record is from RNAcentral. Lineage: Eukaryota; Fungi; Ascomycota; Dipodascomycetes; Dipodascales.
CCUGCGGAAGGCAUUAUUGAUUUUAUCUAUUUCUGUGGAUUUCUAUUCUAUUACAGCGUCAUUUUAUCUCAAUUAUAACUAUCAACAACGGAUCUCUUGGCUCUCACAUCGAUAAGAACGCAGCGAACCGCGAUAUUUUUUGUGACUUGCAGAUGUGAAUCAUCAAUCUUUGAACGCACAUUGCGCGGUAUGGCAUUCCGUACCGCACGGAUGGAGGAGCGUGUUCCCUCUGGGAUCGCAUUGCUUUCUUGAAAUGGAUUUUUUAAACUCUCAAUUAUUACGUCAUUUCACCUCCUUCAUCCGAAUUACCCGCUGAACUUAAGCAUAUCAAUAAGCGGAGAA